CUUGUCACAGUCUAUUUGUUUUACACUGCUUCUCUUUCCUCUCCACACAUUCUUUCGAUGUAAUUUCAUGUGAAAAUAUGGUUAAGGGCUGCUUUACUUAUUUUUCAGGAUCAUCAAUGGAAAUAUUAACUCUGACAGGAAGGCUCUACACCACCCUACCAGAUACCUGCCCUUAGCUGUGUGUAGGAAGACGAUGAUUAAGGAGUAUUUGCAUUUUUCCACAAGAGAAUCGUUCUUCUCUAUCUUCCCUCAUUUAAGAACAUCACCAGCUCAAAGACUCAUCUCUCAACCACCCAUGUACAUACAAAGAGUUAGAGCCACUGACACUGGGAGACAUGAACUGAGUUGGCAGCAAGAGUGAAAGGCUGGUGUAUAGAAAGAAGAUAUUGCAACAAAAAACUCAGAGGUGAAAAGAUCUCCAUCCAUUCUCUUGGUAAACUAAACUUCUUCUCCAGGAAAUAUUCUUUGUUCAAGUCUUCGCCAUUUAUUAUGAUGAUGUUUUCAAAGAGUUUCCAGUUAUAAACACUAAUUCCUCUCCAACGAAAUCCUCUCACACCCAAAUUAUGUGGGUAAGUCAAUAAGGAAAAAUACUGGUUUUACCAGCCUCAGAGUGUUCAGAAUUUCUGAACAAGUAUGAUGAGGAAUCACCCUAGUGUCUAGCAAAUCUUCAUGAGCAUUACCAACAGAACUCUUGGAUAUAUCCUGAUAUCUCUCAGGCCAACAUUAACUCUAAAAGAUAGUAAAUGCAAUCAAUAAUGAAAAAUCAUAUAUAUAUGCAUAUAAUUAUAUAUGUACAUAAUUUCUCA
This 806-nucleotide long non-coding RNA is filed under the name Vulpes vulpes (red fox). RNAcentral's name for it is "lncRNA (ENSVVUG00000000171.1)". The record is from RNAcentral. Lineage: Eukaryota; Metazoa; Chordata; Mammalia; Carnivora; Canidae.